CUGAUUGGACAUUAGAAUAAAGAAGUUCCUCUUUUCUGUGGGUCACUAAUCUGGGAGGAUACAAAAUAGGAAUUGAAGUAAAUCAAUCUGUAGUAGGAGAAAAUGAGGCCAUUCUCCCCAUACCUAGAAGGGGACAAAGCUUAGAGACGGAGUCUAAGAUCUAAAUCUUCAGGCAUGGUUUCAUCCAUGAUAAAGGCAGCAUCAUUCCUUAACUUCCCAGUUAGUAAGUCCCUUUUGGUUUAAACUACCAUUUAUACCACUUGGAAUCAAAUGAUUUGCAGUAGGCAGAACAUUUUCGCCCUCUGAUGCUGCUCCUGUGAAUGUUAUGCUACAUAGAAAAAGGGACUUCACAAAUGUAAUUAAGGUUGCUAAUCAGCUAGUCUUAAAAUAAGGAGACUAUCCGGAAUUAUCUGGGGCUGGCCUGAUCUAAUCACACAAACCCUAAAAAUGCAGAGAUCUUUCUGCCUUGUAGCAGAAGAGUAAGUCAGAGAUUUGAGGUGCUAUUGGCGGGUUGAAGAUGAAUCACAUGUCAAGGAAAUGAGAAUCUUAGUCCUACAUUAACAAGGAAAUGAAUUCUACCUCAAAGUGGAACCUUCCUCAGAACUUCUAGAUAAAGUCCCAGCCCAGCUAAUACCUUGAUGUCUGCUUUAUGAUCUCUGAGUAGAGAUAUUUUGAGAGAUGUUAUGCCUGCACCUCUGACCCACAGAAUUUCAAGAUAGUGAGUAUCAUUUUAAGCCUGUGAAUUUGUGGUUAUUUGUUACAGCAGCAAUAGAAAACUAAUAUAUGGGCCAAAUAAGUGGUACUUUUUCAUUCAGCAACAUUUAUGGAGCCCCUGCCUGGUGUCUAAAUGUCUAGAGCCACAUGGACACACACACUCAAUACUACUAAAAGUAAGAAGUUAUACAAGGCUCCUCUUCGAGGCUUUAUGGCCUGUUGAUAAAGAAUGUUUGCUCCAAUACUAAGUUCCAUGUUUUAUUCGUCUGUUUGGUGAAAACUUCCUGGCACACAAUAGGUAUCAGCUCCUAUUUGUUCUAUUAAGCUGAAUGAUUUUAUAAUACUGUUGGCUCAACAGUACACAGUGCUAGAGAGUAAAAAGCUAAAGACUUCAUUGUAUGUUGAAAAUCAUGCUUUAGAGAAUACUUUCUGGUUCCUGGUUUGGCUUUCAAUUUAUAUUAUAGGUAAAGAUGAGAAAAAUCUUUUAAAUGCAAUGGGUGUUUUCUCUCUCGUAAAAUACAGUAUUUCUACUUUGGUUCUGGAACUAAGAUUAACUGUGAGUCUUUAUGGCUCAUGAUUCAAAUUCUCUAAACAUCAGCAUAUGAUUCAGGUGUAAAGCAAACUCAGCAAUUAUAUCUGCUCAAAAUUUUAAUAUAAUUAUGCAUAAUUAGUGCUCUUGCCUUAGUGUGACUCAUAUUAGUGUCCAAUCCAGUUACCAAUAUUUAUCCCCCUGUAACUACUCCAGAUUGUACAGGGUGUCCUGGUCCUGCCUUUGCAUUUUGAUACUCUAGAAUAAAGUUCACACAUAUGCCAGGCAGGUGUCUGAAGCCUGCCUCCUCAUUCUUUUGAUCUCCACUAGUUCAGUUAUCAGUUCCUCUCCUGGGGCUGGUUUUGGGAACUUGCAAACAACUGGUCCUGUACACUUUGCACUAACUCCAAACUGUCUCCUGACUGGCUUAUUUCCCCUCCUUUUACCACCUAUCUCUCAGUUGAGAAUGGGGAUGCACCUUACAUGACCCCAAGCUCUCUUUCCUUAUGAUUCUUGUACUUGUGAGGAAAUAUCCAAGUGCUCAUAAAUGUUUCUAUCUUUCCAUAGGGUAGUUAACUACUGUUUCAUAAUUCAGAGCUGUUAAGAGUUUAGGGUUUCAGUAACUUUGAUCCAUAUAACAUAUCUGGUCAAAACCAAACAAAUAAAUAAAAGAACUGUUCUAUCAUGAUUGAUUCUGUUUUUACAGAUGUGCCAUUCUUAACAUACUGCUGUCCUUGGAAUCAUAGCUUCACAUCUGAAAAGGGGCAAUAGCAUUAAGUAGCAGUUUGGGUCUUUCUUUGACAUAUUCCCUUGAGAAGUGUUAAAUGUUGCCAUUCUUGACAGUUCAAAAGCAAGUCAUAUGGUUGAUAUUUUGCCAAUGAGAUAAAUGUGGAAAAAUGUCACUUUUCCUUUAAUUAGUUGUCAGUAGAAACUUGGCAAGAGAUGAUAGUAAGGAGAUAUUGGCAUUUAGGCAUGUUCAUAUUUACUUUUGUGAUUUAGAAUUAUGACGACUUUCAUGUAUCCUUACAGUGACCCUGUCUGGUUUAGAACUUCUGAAAUUCCAGCAUCAAACCUCUUUCCCAUUCCUCCAGACAGAGACAGCAACAUUCACCAACAUUGGAGUUUUGAUCAGAUACAGACUCUAAGAUGCAAAUAUCCUACUUCUGCUUCAAAAAGAGAAAAUGGGAAUUGGAAGGAGAACACAAGUCUUAAAGAGACAAGGGAAUGAAUGCCCAUGGAAGUUUCUCCAUUUCCUCAGCCUCUCACUCACUGCCUAGCUCCCAGCAUCAAAGAGCAGCUAUGACAUAGCCCUUUAAAGACAGAUUGCUUGUUCUUGGAAUUUGGCAGAGAAGAAGGCAAGACUUCAUAACCAGAGAUUCUGAUCCAGUGGUGAUAUCAGAAUUUUAGAAGCUCCUUGGAUAAUUCCUGCUCAAUUUGAGGACCAUUGCCCUAAGCUUGUUGUGCCAUACAGCCUUGUCUAAUGGCACUAUGGAAAAAGAGAAAGGAUAGGGUAUUAAUUGCAUCUUGUUCAACCUGAUUGUCUUCAGGAGAACUGGAAAGAGUGGCUUCAUUGAGACAAUGAAGGCAUUAUGGAUUCAAGAUUCAUACCUAUUCUAUGAAGGAUCAGUGAAAGGUUGGCCAUAGUUCACCUAUGUGGAAACUUGGGGUUUUGAUUACAGAACAUUGGUCAUCAAUUCUGGUGUGCAUUCAAAUGAUCUAUGGACCUCUUUCAAAAAUCUCUGUAUCUGGCCCAUCCUCCUGAGAUGAACUUAAGAAAACCCUGAACACCAUCAGAUCUGAAUUUCUGACCUGUUAUCAUUUUCUUCUCCCUGAAGAACUUCUUUGAACAAUUCUUACAAGUUAUUAAAACUACUUGACGGGUCCAAUAUCCGGCUGGAGUCUUCUACUGGCUUGAAGCAAGCAAGAGUUCUGAGUGUUUUUUGUCCAGAAGAACUUGGCUCGAGAUCAUUUUUGGCUGUGCUCAAAGUUGAGUAACUGGGACAUGAAAGUAGGGCUGCUCAAAAAAAGAGGGCCAAUGAGCACAGCCUGCCGCCUUGGGCAAUGUUGUCCUGGUCAGAGCCCUACUCAAGAAUUUAUGUCAUUUGAAAGCAUUCAGAAAGGAACGCUGUGCCUUGUGGACAGAACACCUUGAUUUUAGCCCAGCAAGAUCCGUGACAGACUACUGACCUCCAGAACUGUAAGCUAACAAAUUUUCAUUGUUUUAAACUGUGAGGUUUGUAGUCAUUUGCUAUGACAGCAAAGAAAACUAAUUCAGCAUAUUAAAUUUCAUGAACUAUUGCUAUAUUUCCCUCCAAAGUGCUAUACUGUGCUAUCAGUGUAUGAGAGUCUCUGAGACCCCUUAACCUUUGUAAACCUAGAUUAUAGUCAGACUUAAAUUUUUGUCUGCUGAGUUUGUAAAGCUGUGUCGUUCUAAUUUGGGCACGGUUUUACCUUUCAUUUCCCUAAUAAUAUGUGGGGUGGAGCAUCUUACUUCUAUUUUAUUGGCUAUUUGAACAUCUCUUCUUGAAUAUCUUGCUCAUGUAUAUUGCCCUUUAUUCCUAUUGGGGUGUUACUCUUACUUAUUUGUAAUCAUUUAUACAUUCUGAAUACAAAAUCCUUAUUGGUGACACUCCAUGCAUGUAUAAAUUCCCAUUCUGCAGCUUCCUUUAACUGUGUGGUAUUUUAUUAAACAGAAAGUUUUAAUUGACAUGUAGAUAAAUGUGACAGUUUUUAACUUAAUUAGUUAUGCAUGUUAGGUCUUAUCUAAUAUCU
This is a long non-coding RNA of Acinonyx jubatus (cheetah), 4015 nucleotides long. RefSeq lists it as uncharacterized. The transcript has 8 exons. Lineage: Eukaryota; Metazoa; Chordata; Mammalia; Carnivora; Felidae. The record is from RefSeq and is a predicted model, not a curated record.